AUAUUACUCCCUCCGUCCCAUAUUAGUUGCCGUUAAAAUGGAUGUAUCUAACAUUGAAAUACGCCUAGAUACAUCCAUAUCAGCGACAACUAAUAUGGGACAGAGGGAGUAGUUG
This is a non-coding RNA of Hordeum vulgare subsp. vulgare (domesticated barley), 115 nucleotides long. The record is from Rfam. Lineage: Eukaryota; Viridiplantae; Streptophyta; Magnoliopsida; Poales; Poaceae.